Non-coding RNA from Monodelphis domestica (gray short-tailed opossum), 1165 nucleotides. The record is from RefSeq and is a predicted model, not a curated record. NCBI's taxonomy places the organism in Eukaryota, Metazoa, Chordata, Mammalia, Didelphimorphia, Didelphidae.
CAUAGUCAAUGAUUUCAAACAUGAGCUCAAGAGAGAGACUAGAGCUGAUUAUAAAUCUGUGAGUCAUCUACAUAAGGAUGAUUAUUGAAUCCGUCAGAGGUGAUGAGAUCACUAAAAGAAUGCAGAGAAGGAGAACAGGGAUUUUAGGUGUCACAAAGACAGAGAGACAUUAGCACUCUGAAGGCAUUUGGAAAACUAGAUUGAGUAAUCUCUUUGGGACAGAACUUCAGUAAUAGAAUUUCGUGGUCAAAGGUCUGGGAGGCUGCCUGGUGAGUUCAAGAAGUCCAGAGAUCUUGGAUCUCUCAGUCAGAGCUGGCUGGCAGCGUGAAGAAUUUCAGCAUCAGAGAAGAUGAUCACAGAAAGAAAGGAGGAACCUGGCCUGUCUUUCCAGAACUCAUCGACCUUGUGGGAAUUGUUUGUACAAUGCAAAGCUGAAGUAAAAUGUAAAAUGCCUAUUUAACAGUCCUGAAAAUUUCCACAAGUUCUGAGGCUUACGUCAAAACCUCCUAAAUGAAUAUAACAGUAGUUAUCUUAUUAGCACUUUUGUUGAGGAACAUUUUUGAAUGUUUUGUAUUCAGUAUACAUUUGUUUGGAAGAAAUAAAUAGAUUUCCUAUACCUGAUUUACACUGGAGCUGAAAGAACCAGAGAUGCCAGAAAGAAUACUGGUAUUUUCUAUUUAGAGGACAAAUUUGCCCAGGACUAAACCUAACCCUGAAAUGGAUAGAGGAUAGACUUAGAGUCAUGGAUACUCAUUUUCUUAUGUUCAAAUCUAGCCUUGGACACUUACUAGCUGUUUAAUCCUGGGCAAAUUCCUUUACUCUUUGCCUCACUUCCUCAUCUGUAAAAUGAGCUACAGAGGGAAAUGGCAAACCAUUCCAGUUUCUUUGCUAAGAACACCCUAAAUGGGGCCCAGAACAGCUGAAACAAUGGAACAACAAAAUCCAAUCUUCUCAUGAUAGAGAUGAAAAGGGCCCCUUGAUGGAGAGAGAGAAGCACUAGCAAGUAAGGGAAUAAGGAAAAAUAUUCCUACAGAAAAAGGUACCUGAAGAACUAAGGAUUAUAAAGGGAGAUAUGGAGAUUGAGGUGGGAAGUAUAUUCCAAGCAUGGAGGACUGCCAAUCCAUUUUUUUGGGUAGAAGAAUAGUUUAGCUGGUAUGUAAAAGGA